GGAUUUUUCAGUUGAUUCGAAGAUGUGAAAGAAGAAUCAUCACUGUUUCGGAAGAAUAGCAACAGAAUCAAGAUUAGGUGAUUUUCAGUUGGAUUGAAGAAAAAUUAAGGAGUAUGUGGAUUCAAUUUUAUAAAUCAGGUUAGAGAUAGUAUGUGGUUUUGCUGUAGUGGCCUUGUUGGAGCCAGAUAAACAAGUUAUGGUGCUAGGAGGCAAUAAGGGUAU
Long non-coding RNA from Papaver somniferum (opium poppy), 222 nucleotides. RefSeq lists it as uncharacterized. The transcript has 4 exons. The record is from RefSeq and is a predicted model, not a curated record. NCBI's taxonomy places the organism in Eukaryota, Viridiplantae, Streptophyta, Magnoliopsida, Ranunculales, Papaveraceae.